Daphnia magna is the source of this 2572-nucleotide long non-coding RNA. RefSeq lists it as uncharacterized. NCBI's taxonomy places the organism in Eukaryota, Metazoa, Arthropoda, Branchiopoda, Diplostraca, Daphniidae. The record is from RefSeq and is a predicted model, not a curated record. The transcript has 4 exons.
AUCUACAAAAAACACCCGCCAUUAAAUUGUUGCCGCCCAAAGGUUUUCCUUUUUUUCUUUGAUUAAUUUCACUUCUUUAGAUUGUACAUAAGUAGACAAGACGGAAUGUGAUGUAAGGUAGAACUUGAUACCAUAAAUCUGAUCCCCGUCGAGCACUGUCAUGAGAUGUCUGCAGAUGUGGUGAGUUAGAGACCCUCUAACAAAACAACAACCAAAUCUCGACGUACUGUCACCAAAGCUUAAUGGAACCUUGACUAUGUAACAGUAAAAGACUGUUUGGUUAUAGAUGAUACUACUUUACACAGUAAAACAGUAUUACGUACGUAAGUAGAAUAACUUUUCAAGAUAUUGCUAUCUCCACCACAACACACUAAUACCACAUAACCACGUUGAUCGAACGCAUUUGCGAAGGACUUUGCUAAAAGUCCGGCUAUUUGUACGAUCGGAAAUGCCUGUAAUUUCCCUUAGCCGCAUGCCACGAACUAGCUCAAUGCCAUUACAUGCACGCAUGGUAAUAUUCACGUUUAAUGAGUUCCAAAAAUUACACACAUGCCUUUGACAAAACGUGAGCUUACUUUCGAUUUCCUAAAUUCCGUGCGAUCGUUGAACGUGAUUCCUUAUUCGCCUUGUGCAAUUUCUGGUUAAGUUUCCGUUUAAUUAGCUUUUGAAGUCGACGCAGUUACAUAGUUCUCCUACAUAGGUGUAACCUUUUCCUGAAAAAUUGGAUCACGACGCGAUCAACGCUCCAAGCAGGUCUACGGUUUCGUAAAUUUUUUCAAGCUCUUUUCUAUUUUUCUUUUCAUUGCUGCAUUUCUCUCCAUCACGAAACCCCAAAAGUCGUUUGUCAAACCGUGAUAGGCGGCAGCUGCACAAACAUGUAUGUAUACGCAGGUAUACGAUACUGAAUCCUAGAGAGAAACACAACAUCAGGAUUUAGCAAUCGAGAAAAGGGCGGAAAAAGCCACCACCCAAACAAGAUAAGCUUCUGCUAAACCCAUCCGGUGAAUUGGCAAAAACAAAAUGGGAUUGUCUACUUCGUUACACUGAAUACUUUUUCUUUCCGGAAACGGGAAAGAAGAAAAAGGACAAAUAUUCGUUCGUUGACUAAAGGUAACCUUUUUCACAUCCGGAAUUGCAAAGGAUUCAGAGCUCUUAAAGCUUAUCAAUAAAGGAAGUUGGUAAUCCAAUACAUGAAGACCGACCGCAACAGUCUGCCAUCUAACGGUCAAAUUUGGAAUUUUCAUUCACUUUUUGCCUCAAUAAGUGAACCAUCAUUGUUCGUGGCCUACAGGACACGAUCGCUAAUUGGGCUCUCUCCUACACGACUCGUUUCUCCACGUCAGAAUAGGCCAAUAAUAUGGAACGAGGGGAGGAAGCUGUCGGUCGAUUUUGUUUCAGUUUCUCCAGCAGCUUGCAGACGACGAGGCCAGCCGGUCGUGACACAUGAUCGCGUCACUGAAGCAGAAGGAAUGCCAUCGCCGGGUUCGGUGCGUUCGACGAGAUGUUUGUGCUGCAUCGGUCGGGCCAGAACAAGAACGCCAUUAAAAGAAAGUAGUAACUCGAAACCGCCAAAACCACCAUCGUCCCUUUCAACGUUGAUUCCGCUGUCGUUCCUACACGUCAGACAAGUACCCCAUCUCAACACCAAAGCCAGUAAAAACUUCUGGCUUUAUCUAGAGGGGGGAAAAAAUGUGGGCGGAUUUGAUUGAGAAAAUGAAAGAACGGGGAAAGGAGGAAGGAAAAGAGGAUUCCGAGGCAACAGACCAGUUCCGCGGAAGUGGAACGAACGCAGGGGCGUUGUCACGAUAACGUCAGUAUUCAAAUCACAUCAUCUAGAUUCAUCAUGAAUCAAUGUAUUUACAAUAAAGCUCCGAAUGACAAUAUGGUAUAUCGUAUAUACAUACACACAAGUUACAAACGUAAUGUUUUUUUUCCUUUUUUCUUUUUUGUGUUUUACUUCUCCCCAUCUUGGUAGUGUGUAAAGUACAGGUAAUAUGCGACACGUUUAAAAAAUUGAGGAUAUAAUCCCUCCGCAAUAAAAAUGCAAAAAAAAACAAAAAUAUGUAUCAUACAAAAUAGGAAAAGAUUAACAAAACAAAAAUAUUUCCUUAUGGACAUUGUCAGUCGAUUACAAACGCGCUUAUCUUUUUUGAUGCACACCAUAAAAAAGAAGAAAGGAAAGGACAAAAAAAAAAAAAGUACCAAUUGCUUUGUCAUAAAUCUUAGUAGUGGUGAUCAAGAUGUUGGGAACACACGGUGUCCCAUAGUGUGGAUAAAGAAUUUAAACAACAAUAUUAGAAAAAAAUAAAAUAAAAUGAAAUUUUCUUAAUAAAUGCUGCUUUGCCCGUUGUUGGCUUUCAAUUCAAACUGCAACUGUGGAUGAAAAAAUUGAUGCAUCAUGCUAGUACCACGAAAAUCAAAGAAUUGUACAGACGCUAGCGACGAAGAUAUCAUUUAAGGCUGUGUUGACGUCCUACGGUACAAAACACGAGUCAACAAAGUCUGCGAGCCACCGAGUCCGGAUUUUUUUUUCUCUCUUUUUUUCACAUUUCUUUUGUGACACACACACACA